GUAUAUUGUUUAUUAUAGGCUGUUUAAGGCCCAGAUAUUUCAUUCUUUAGACAUAUGUGUAUGAGUAUGAGAGACAUAGAUCUGGAAUGUCCAAAGGAAAGCUGGCUUGUGCAGCACAGCAGUCUUAUAUAACACAACCCAAGAUUGGGUUAUUCCAGAACUACAAAAGGUGCACAGGUGGAAAUAUAAAGAUGACAGGCGUGCACAUGCUUCCUAGAAAGCCAGCUACAACCCAUCAAGUUUAUUCUGUAAUGAUCCUUCCGCAGGUUCACCUACGGAAA
Molecule: unclassified non-coding RNA, 281 nt
Filed under: uncultured fungus
Lineage: Eukaryota; Fungi
Description: sequence contains ITS1
Source: RNAcentral